GCUGCGCCCAAGGCUAUUUAAACCCACCCUGGCGGGCCUGUACUCAGAUCUUCCAAGAGCGGAGCAGGCGCCGGAGCGUUAUGCUGGCUCUGCGUGGACUUCGAGCUUACAGCGUCUUGCGACUUGGAAGCGGAUUCAGAGGACAGGACAGAACACUUGG
RNAcentral lists this long non-coding RNA (160 nucleotides) under Pongo abelii (Sumatran orangutan). Its description in RNAcentral is "lincRNA". Lineage: Eukaryota; Metazoa; Chordata; Mammalia; Primates; Hominidae. The record is from RNAcentral.